AUUUGCUUGUGUCUUAUUGAAGUGGUUACUCUUGGUGCUGGGUUUGAGAUAGUUUGGGUUCGAGAUAGUUUGGUUUGAAGCUGCUCCAUGUGUAAUUGGACACCUUGGGAAGGCAUUUGAAUGUGCUCUUGGCAGCAGCACUACUUUUUUGUAUCGGUUGAGGGAGGCCUUGGAGGAAGCAAACAUAUAAUAUUUUUUCUUUUGAUAAGAUGGAG
Sorghum bicolor (sorghum) is the source of this 215-nucleotide long non-coding RNA. RefSeq lists it as uncharacterized. Lineage: Eukaryota; Viridiplantae; Streptophyta; Magnoliopsida; Poales; Poaceae. The record is from RefSeq and is a predicted model, not a curated record. The transcript has 3 exons.